AUACGGAGGGGGUUAGCGUUGUUCGGAAUUACUGGGCGUAAAGCGCGCGUAGGCGGAUUGGUAAGUUAGAGGUGAAAUCCCGGGGCUCAACCCCGGAACUGCCUUUGAUACUGCCAGUCUUGAGUUCGAGAGAGGUGAGUGGAAUUCCGAGUGUAGAGGUGAAAUUCGUAGAUAUUCGGAGGAGCACCAGUGGCGAAGGCGGCUCACUGGCUCGAUACUGACGCUGAGGUGCGAAAGCGUGGGGAGCAAACAGGAUUAGAUACCCCAGUAGUCC
This 274-nucleotide ribosomal RNA is filed under the name uncultured bacterium. RNAcentral's name for it is "partial 16S ribosomal RNA". It matches the Rfam family "Bacterial small subunit ribosomal RNA", at positions 523 to 796 of the family's 1533-position model. The record is from RNAcentral.